This is a long non-coding RNA of Micropterus dolomieu (smallmouth bass), 1070 nucleotides long. RefSeq lists it as uncharacterized. The transcript is spliced from 3 exons. NCBI's taxonomy places the organism in Eukaryota, Metazoa, Chordata, Actinopteri, Centrarchiformes, Centrarchidae. The record is from RefSeq and is a predicted model, not a curated record.
AAGAAAGAAUAGUCCGCGCUUUUCCCACGUUCCCACUUGCAGCUUCCAGCUCAACUCGCCCUGGGUCGAUUCCACCGUCGCUCAGCUCAACUCUUGACGAGAGAAAAAAUGCUGUGAAUGUGGCGUUGUAAAGCCUGCCCCUCAGAUUUACCAAGAAAUGGCUGAGACCCAUUUCUUCAAAGCCAUAGAGAUGACGACUGUGGGGAUCUAUGUCGUGAAAGACACUGCCACCAGCGAACCCUCUGACGUUGGAAUAGUCAUCGAGGGUGUGGUGGCACUUCGAGAUCUUGAGAAUGUAGCCCUUGCGUCUUCAGUGUUGUUUGGACUCUUGUAUGCAUUAAACAUGCAGUACCCUACAAAGCUCCGCUACACUUUUGAGGUAAUUCAGAAGAUAAUCAUGGAGCUGGAUGCGGGGGACCUGUCAAGAAUGUCUCAAAGCCUGAAAACUAAGCUCCACCAGUGAAGAGAGCUCAUUGUUCUUGGCUCUUCUGGAUUAGGACAUGAUUUUUAAUAGUAAUAGUCUCCAACUCUACAUUCCUGGACUCACUGGUGUUGCAACAUGGUUUUGGGACUACCAGUCCAGUGAUAUUUUUCUUUUACAGUUGUGAUUACUUUACAGCACCAGGAACAUGUGAUUUUUACCAUUCCAUGUGUUAAUGUGUUCAAAUUUAAUAUAUUGUUCAAAAACCCUUAUCUUCCCAUAGAAUAUUUAGAGUGCAUUGUUUUAUAUAUGGAGUCUGCAGUUCAAUUUUAGAAAUUAUUUUACCUGUUUUAGACAACAAAGCUACACCAGGGAAGGGGGCUCAAUGUAUUUGUCUCCUGGUUUGAUCAGGACAUGACUGUUGGGAUGCACCUUUUAAUCGUUUAGCUACAGUUUACAUUCCUUGACUGAGUGAUGUUGCAGCCUGGUUUUGUUGUUUGUUCCCCAAUCCAGUGAAAGUCAAGUUGUACAGUUUUGAUUACAGUACCAGGCACAUUUGAAUUGAACCAUUCCAUUUUAUUGUGUUAAUAUAUAAUGCAUUGUUCAAAAACCUUGAGCUUCUCACAGGACAGUUCAUGUAUAUUUGUUU